RNAcentral lists this ribosomal RNA (497 nucleotides) under uncultured bacterium. Its description in RNAcentral is "partial 16S ribosomal RNA". It matches the Rfam family "Bacterial small subunit ribosomal RNA", at positions 28 to 507 of the family's 1533-position model. The record is from RNAcentral.
GAUGAACGCUGGCGGCGUGCCUAAUACAUGCAAGUCGAGCGAACGGACGAGAAGCUUGCCUUUCUGAUGUUAGCGGCGGACGGGUGAGUAACACGUGGAUAACCUACCUAUAAGACUGGGAUAACUUCGGGAAACCGGAGCUAAUACCGGAUAAUAUUUUGAACCGCAUGGUUCAAAAGUGAAAGACGGUCUUGCUGUCACUUAUAGAUGGAUCCGCGCUGCAUUAGCUAGUUGGUAAGGUAACGGCUCACCAAGGCAACGAUGCAUAGCCGACCUGAGAGGGUGAUCGGCCACACUGGAACUGAGACACGGUCCAGACUCCUACGGGAGGCAGCAGUAGGGAAUCUUCCGCAAUGGGCGAAAGCCUGACGGAGCAACGCCGCGUGAGUGAUGAAGGUCUUCGGAUCGUAAAACUCUGUUAUUAGGGAAGAACAUAUGUGUAAGUAACUGUGCACAUCUUGACGGUACCUAAUCAGAAAGCCACGGCUAACUACGUG